UACAGAGGGUGCAAGCGUUAAUCGGAAUUACUGGGCGUAAAGCGCGCGUAGGUGGUUCGUCAAGUUGGAUGUGAAAUCCCCGGGCUCAACCUGGGAACUGCAUUCAAAACUGUCGAGCUAGAGUAUGGUAGAGGGUGGUGGAAUUUCCUGUGUAGCGGUGAAAUGCGUAGAUAUAGGAAGGAACACCAGUGGCGAAGGCGACCACCUGGACUGAUACUGACACUGAGGUGCGAAAGCGUUGGGAGCAAAC
RNAcentral lists this ribosomal RNA (250 nucleotides) under uncultured bacterium. Its description in RNAcentral is "partial 16S ribosomal RNA". It matches the Rfam family "Bacterial small subunit ribosomal RNA", at positions 524 to 773 of the family's 1533-position model. RNAcentral also lists the same sequence under 1 other name. The record is from RNAcentral.